AGUGAACGCUGGCGGUAGGCCUAACACAUGCAGUCGCACGGCAGCACAGUAAGAGCUUGCUCUUACGGGUGGCGAGUGGCGGACGGGUGAGGAAUACAUCGGAAUCUACUUUUUCGUGGGGGAUAACGUAGGGAAACUUACGCUAAUACCGCAUACGACCUACGGGUGAAAGCAGGGGAUCUUCGGACCUUGCGCGAUUGAAUGAGCCGAUGUCGGAUUAGCUAGUUGGCGGGGUAAAGGCCCACCAAGGCGACGAUCCGUAGCUGGUCUGAGAGGAUGAUCAGCCACACUGGAACUGAGACACGGUCCAGACUCCUACGGGAGGCAGCAGUGGGGAAUAUUGGACAAUGGGCGCAAGCCUGAUCCAGCCAUACCGCGUGGGUGAAGAAGGCCUUCGGGUCGUAAAGCCCUUUUGUUGGGAAAGAAAAGCAGCAGGUUAAUACCCCGCUGUUCUGACGGUACCCAAAGAAUAAGCACCGGCUAACUUCGUG
Molecule: ribosomal RNA, 491 nt
Filed under: uncultured bacterium
Lineage: Bacteria
Description: partial 16S ribosomal RNA
Rfam family: Bacterial small subunit ribosomal RNA
Source: RNAcentral